AGUCUGCUACUGAUCAGGAAGUCCGCGGGGCUGAAAAACUGGUUUACAGAAACAGGAAAAGUCAGUAAACACAGCUGCCAAAGAUAAUAGAUGCGAUAGAACACAAUGCCUACUAGAUCAAGUGUGAUGCAAGUGGCGUUAUUAUUAUUAUUAGUCAUUUUCUACUUUUCUUCAAGAUUCGAAGAUGAGAAUUUUCUGGCUAUUAUUUGAUGCUUUGAAUUCAAAAUGCAUUUUCAAAAAAAACACUUUUUUAGCAGGCUGCGUAGACGACAACAUGCAGACUCUUCAUUAAACAAUCCUCAUUAGCUUAAUAAUACCGUGUCAUAAAACAGGUGAGGCCGGCAGUAAAAGCACAGGUGUUGCUGAUAUCAUCACUAAUUGGCUCACGCUCGUUAAACGGCCCGCUGGCGACAAGGGAAAAGGGAGGGAAGCCAUCAUUCGGCCAAACGUUAUGCUGCCGAGAAAUAGACUUUUAUUUCAUACAAUAUGAAUAGCAACAAAUACAAAAUACUACACAAAUGAACAUGAGAAAAGACAUGCAGACAAAUAGCUGUUUUACUCGGUGUUACCUGUACACACAUGAAACGUACCUGUCGUAUUGGCCUGUGCACAGUUUCGUCAUCAUCACUUAGAUUGUUCCUGAUGAUGUGACCCAAAUAUCUCACUUCAGGCACCACGUUUAGUUCUUUGCCUCCCACGAAAAAACAGAGGAAAAAGUAGCCAUGCAUUCAUGACAACAGACAGGUAAAGUCAAAUCAUUGUGCUCUGCAUAGGGAUUUCUUCUUUUAAUCAGUCCAUAAAAAUUAUCAUUCAGCGGGAAUUGCGUAACCAUGAAUGAAAUAUUGUAUUGAGCUUGCUCCUAACUAGCUGCCUUCCAAAAUCUUUAUUAUAUAGAGCAAACAAACCCAAACAAACAAUCUAGCAGAUGUGCCUGAAGCUCUUUGGCCAGAAUGCAAGUGUCCCAGAUGUUCCCUCACGUUGAAAAAGCCAAACAGCAGCUUUGAUUAAGUAACAGGGUCGAGCAGGUUAUUCUUAAAUCACACACUGUGAAAGGCUCCUGUGACCAUUUGAUUAGCGUUUUUUUACUGGUCACAUUGAUGUCACGUUUGUGUAAUCUAAUGUCAGACUCCAUUCCGUAGAAAUAGUAAACACAAAGUCACACUCAAGAAGAUGCCUGUGAGUAACCACUGAAUCCAGUGGAGAGCAGAAACGCCAGGCAGCCGUGCAGCUUAGUGAAGCCUCGAUAAUGUGGGGCUGCAAUGCUCCCUGAUUUAUGCAGCGGGGUAGAUGGUCCAAAUGUAUCCUCCUGCAAUAUUUAUUAGACAUGCACACCAUCACUCUGCAUUUUGGAUGCAAUGGUUGCAGGUGGACAGAGCGCAUUGCAUUGCAUAGCGCAGACCUGUCAAAUGCACAUAAUGGAGGAUGGCAGUGUGAUCAUUUGCAGUAUUUCCAUGGCAUCAUCAUUUUGCACACUGUACAUCUGAGAUUGAGGCGUCUGAGGGAACACUCUGUCCUGGGGGGUGCGGGGAGGUGGAUGGGGAGGGGGGUUACUCCUGCCAUCAGACUGCUACUGCAUUAAAUCAAACUUGUGUAUGUGUAUGUAUUUAUGUUUACUAACGCAUUAGCUUCCCGGGUUAGCAUUAGCUGGUCACUCCACUAGAAUGGACCACAGACUGUGAUCAUGUGUUCCAAUGGAGUCGCCGUGAUCUUCACAAAUGAGUUCACAACAAACGCAAACUACCAGAACACACAAACCUAUAAAUUACUGUGUUUUCGAUAACUCGUUGAACUGAAUAAACCACAAUACUGUGACUUCACCAGUCACACGGUCUUUUGGAGGGAUUGUAUGAGUGUAAACCUGCAGAUGUUUGAUGUGAUUCUAACAUUCAGCUCAUGAUGAAGCUCUUUUCCUUCGUGGUCUGCUGCAACAAACUCGCUCAAAAUCCACAUGAACUAUUUAGUAAUGGUGGUUCUGUGCUAAGUAUAGUAGAGUCAAAGUAGAGUCCUUUAAGGCCAUCAUGGUACAUUUCACACCACUGCACAAACCUUGCUGAUUCCAGACCAGUACUAUACAAAUCCUACUGAGAGCAAGUUAGCCGCUGACGUUGCUGUUUGAAAAAGAAACCCUGCAACAUCUACAAGCAUUAAGAUGACCUGUUUUUUGUUUGUUUUUUGUUUCACGGACAGUUGUUUUCCCGGAUCUCCAGAGGUUCCCCCUGCUGUCGGGUUCUACACCCUCCCCCCCAUCCCCCCCGGUGGGGCUGAGUCACGGUGCAGUGCAAUUACAGGUCGGACCAGAGUGUCAUUUCUUAUUGAUGUGAACUCCUGCUUCCUAAACUAGAGCUCGUGCUCAACAUUACUCUUUGUCAAAGGAAAAAAAAAUGACACGGUGCAUGUCGCUGCCCCCCAGUAGAGGGCACUGUGGGUGUUCAUGAAGGCCGGACCUGUCUGUCUGUGACCCCCCCCCCCCCCCCCCCCCCCAUCUCUCCACUCCCCCCUCCACCCCUUGAUUACAGUGUUUGAGCUGUUGUGUUCGGUAGACUUUGUGGCACUCUGUAAAUAAGAUUCAAGGAGUUGUUUCCCCCCCUUCACUUACUUCUCCCAUUCUCUGUUCCCCUGUAAACCACAGAAAACACACCACACAUUAAAACACAUCCCAUUUCUUAUUGAUCUAUAGUAAACCUUUGCAGAAGAUGAGAAGGUGGUGAUCCUGGCGCCGGUGUUUGCUGAUGUACUCACGAGGAGUUUUAUUUCACGGACAUGUUGAUUCAGACAUUUAAACAUCUCUAUAUAACAAACAUAUUUCUCAUGGCUCAUUCUACUGCAUUUUUUGCAUUGUUAAUAACAAACAAAUUUAAUAUAAAGAUGUGUAUGAAAUUGAUUGAACAGCAUUUCAGCAUGAAAUUGAUUGAAAUAAGAAUUAAUACACCAAAGAGUUCUUGCAGGUGAGUCACUUUCUCUACUUUCAUCAUCCAGUCUAUUUAAUGCUUUCUGUUGGAGUUGUAUUAAUGGAUCUUUUGUGUAGAGUCAUUUGAGAUUCAUCUCUUUCCUUUGCAUUCACUCUACCCUCCUACUCUUCUCCUAUUGCGUCCUGAUUUACACACACACACAUACUUUUCACUGGCGUCCUUUCAAGUCUCCUUUUCUGGAGUUCUCUAUGUACAUAAUCAUGAUUAUAGAAAUAAUUUUGCUCUAUGAAUGAAAUGCUCCUUCCUUGAUGAAAGAAAUCAUGAGUCUGAUGGGGACAGUUGUGCGCAGUCCGUUGUGCUCCUGGCUCUACAAAACAUUCCAAAUUAUCAGCAGGCGACAAUAACAUUGGAUUUACUUUGCAUGCUCAUUAAAUUGAAAUUGGGUUUAUCUAUGUGAGAAGUGAACUGGCGUUGUUGCUGUUAAUUGUCCUUUUCUGCAGUCGAGUCUUGCGGCAAAAAUGCUGUGAGGAAGUUGGUUUACUCUGCAUCUGUAAACUGGAUUAUAGAUGAUUGUUUUCUGUAUUAGCUGCCUUCAUAUUACAAAGAUAACAUCACUUUUUUUUUUACACACUCACACUCGUUUUCCACCAUUCUCCAUCCCCCUUUGCAAGCGGCCUUACUGACCCGACUGUUUUUAAGCUCUUAGCUUUAAUUGGCAUCCGCCCAGUCACCCAUACAGCCACUGUUAUUAAAGACAUAAAGACAUAAGACAAUGAAAAGCACUGCUACUGGUCAGGUUUAGGACACAGUCGCACCCAGCCAGCCCUCUGGGGAUUCCGUCCUUUGCUUGAAAACAUUUUGAUGCACGUGUUACCGAUGCUUUGUUGCUUGUGAUAGUUAAUGGACCACGUGAGCUCGACAUAAUUUCACAAAACAAAAAGGCCUUUGGGAGUCUCUUUAGGAUCCACUGUGGAUUUAUCGAUUUCAAGUCAGGAUGAGAGAAUAACCAAUAUUACUUAUUAGCCGUGUGCCAUAAUGCUCAGAGGGCUUUACAUUUGAUUAUCCGUCAACAUUUCUAUUCUUCAUAUGUGGCAAAAACACAUUUUACAGACACACAUUUCGGUUUUAGAAUUUGAAAGCUGUAAGAGUCAAAGCCGAUUACAGUUUUUCUUCAGAAUGCAAUUAAACAUGAUUUUAUUGUAUUGGUUAGGUCAGCUGUCCUCUGUGUCCUCUGUCCUGGGCCCUUUGCUAAAUCACUGACUGGCCACCAGUACGUCCUUACACCAACAUCCAAACGUAUGGGUAUGACCCUGUGAUGUAGAUGGAAGCUUGGAGAUGCCUCUGUAUCAGGGGAGAAGCUACAGAUUGCAUGUAUGUAUGCAAGACAAGCACUUCGAAUUUAAUCUUUUCAACUCCAGAUCAACUCGCAACCACGCAUGUCCGAAGAGGAGGCUUAGAUUCACAUCAUGCUUUCUAUAGGGAUUAAUUUCCUACGUCACCAACGGGGUUCAGCUGAUCGUGUCAGUCCGGGUGGGGUUCAGCGAGAGGGUGCCGUGAACGCGCCGUUCUGUCUGCUGUCCAUUACUAGCUUGCUAUUGUCAGUCUUUCAUGUACCCGAAUGCAAGCCUUUUUUUUCAGCUUUUAUUGUGUUAUUUGCUCAUUUUAUAACUAAAUGUGUUUUUCAGUGCUUCUGCUGUUUCAAUUAGUUUCUAAUAAAGCAGCACAAUGUUCUUAUUCCAAUCCAAAAUCCCCUAUUAUGUUGCUCUGUGAAUCCUCUAUUGUGUGCCUCUGUGUUUUAAAAAAAACCUAAUAUUAAUAUUCCCUUUCUUUUUGUUAUUGUUGCUCUGCACGCUUAUAAACAAUCUAUCUUUGUUUCUAAGUUUGUAAUUUUAAUCUUGUUUUCUGUUUUAGUGAGACUUUGUUAAAUCGGUUCAGAGACGGAUGAAAACAGGCCUUCUGCGUAGCCGUGGAUUGUGUAGAUUUACAACAGUGAUCAUUGAUGUGCAUAAUAAGUAAUAAAUAAAUGAGAUUUUUGGUGGUCGGCGACACUGUAUGUCCAGUCUGCCGUUUACCAGCUACCAUAAAUCAAAACCAAACCACCAACAAACAGGACCAACUCAUGACCUUGAGUCAAGACGAACCAAGCUGUGCUAAGCUACGGCCUCCGAUAAACUUUAAAAGUUUUAAAAUAAAAGUUGAAUAUUUUCCCUUAUGAUCAAAACAUGCAAAAGUGAAGGUGUUUCUGAACUACCUUAAACAAUCUUAUUUUUUUUCAAUGUUUUAAGCUCUGGUUGAAAUCUUUCAUACAUAAAACACACAGUUGUUCUUUAAACAAAUAACAGCUAAACUGAAAAAAGGACUUUUCUGAAAGCAUUGUUGUGACUUUGGAUAACUCAUUUAAAUAUUGUUUUCCCCUUGUAGGUACAAAACAUAUUCCUUAGUUUGUGACUAAUAACAGCUCUUGGAUAAUUGUAAUUUUAUAAUAUUUCUAAACACAAUACCUUUGUCUUCCCAUGCUAAAGCGUUAUUUCCCCGUAAAUCCUUAAA
Long non-coding RNA from Gasterosteus aculeatus aculeatus (three-spined stickleback), 5456 nucleotides. NCBI's taxonomy places the organism in Eukaryota, Metazoa, Chordata, Actinopteri, Perciformes, Gasterosteidae. The record is from Ensembl.